GCGCUCUGCGCGCACCGGCGGUACGGCUCAGUAACACGNUCGGUAACCUACCCUCGGGAGGGGGAUAACCCCGGGAAACUGGGGCUAAUCCCCCAUAGGCCUGGGGUACUGGAAGGUCCUCAGGCCGAAAGGGCGUAAGCCGCCCGAGGAUGGGCCGGCGGCCGAUUAGGUAGUUGGUGGGGUAACGGCCCACNAAGCCAAAGAUCGGUACGGGCCAUGAGAGUGGGAGCCCGGAGAUGGACACUGAGACACGGGUCCAGGCCCUACGGGGCGCAGCAGGCGCGAAACCUCCGCAAUGCGCGCAACCGCGACGGGGGGACCCCCAGUGCCGUGGCAUCGNCNCGGCUUUUCCGGAGUGCAAAAAGCUCNNGGAAUAAGGNCUGGGCAAGGCCNGUGGCAGCCNCCGCGGUAAUACCGGCGGCCCUGAGUGGUGGCCNCUAUUAUUGGGCCUAAAGCGUCCGUANCCGGNCCCGUNAGUCCCUGNCNAAAU
Molecule: ribosomal RNA, 490 nt
Filed under: uncultured archaeon
Lineage: Archaea
Description: partial 16S ribosomal RNA
Rfam family: Archaeal small subunit ribosomal RNA
Source: RNAcentral